GGAAUGUCGAGAGAGGAAUUGAAAGUGAAAAGUGUCUUACCUUGAGACGUGCGCAGACGAAAACUCACUUGACAAAUGAUGGCGAUUCACUGGUCACAAACAGUUUUAUAUUUACAGGCCGGAAAUGUUUACGUAAAGCGCUCUUCGCCGUCGAUUCUAUAAUCUACAUACAAUAGAUCAAUGAAUACACCGGCAGCGCUAGCUUAUGGCUGAGCCAUAAGUUUAUUACCUCGCCAUAAGCACUUCGCCGUCGACCAAUUGGAUUAUACAGACAGAAAGAGACGUUCGGAGAAGAGGACAGGAGAAGCAGUUAUGCUACAGCUCCCCAAUAUCUGUACCCCAAUGAAGAUGCAGUAUCUUUAUCUAAAGCAUUGAUGGAGUUGAAUAGCAUUUAAAAUAGAUAUGGAAUACGGGAUCCAGAAGAUGUUAUCUAGUAUAGGGGGACUUACUCUUUUUUUCAUUGGAUAGGAAUAAAUACAUAGGUCUAAU
Nilaparvata lugens (brown planthopper) is the source of this 489-nucleotide long non-coding RNA. RefSeq lists it as uncharacterized. The transcript is spliced from 2 exons. The record is from RefSeq and is a predicted model, not a curated record. Lineage: Eukaryota; Metazoa; Arthropoda; Insecta; Hemiptera; Delphacidae.